This 416-nucleotide RNase P RNA is filed under the name bacterium. Its description in RNAcentral is "RNase P RNA component class A". It matches the Rfam family "Bacterial RNase P class A". From Rfam's summary of the family: Ribonuclease P (RNase P) is a ubiquitous endoribonuclease, found in archaea, bacteria and eukarya as well as chloroplasts and mitochondria. Its best characterised activity is the generation of mature 5'-ends of tRNAs by cleaving the 5'-leader elements of precursor-tRNAs. The record is from RNAcentral.
UAAAGUAAAUGAGAUGGCAGCCCAUCCCUUUCAGAAUACAAACUCAUUGUAGUUUGAAAGGGAUGGGAGGAAAGUCCGGGCACCAAAGAGCAAAAUGCUCGUGAAAAUGAGCGGGCAGCGAUGUUCGAGAACAGCGCAACAGAAAAUAUACCGCUAAUCCAGUCCUUUCUUCGGAAAGAGCUGGACAGUAAGGUUGAAAUCGUGAGGUAAGAGCUCACGCGUUCGGAUGGCAACAUCCGUCUGUGGCAAGCCUCGUUUGGUGCAAGUGAAGUGGAUCAGACACUUUGUCUAGUUUACUAGAGAUAUUCUGCUCGAAUAGAAGUGAAUGGUCUUCACGCUUAGAUAGAUUGUCAUCAUCCAGCCCUUUCGCAAGAAAGAGCUGGGGACAGAACCCGGCUUACGGUUUACUUUGACGC